This 382-nucleotide ribosomal RNA is filed under the name uncultured eukaryote. RNAcentral's name for it is "SSU rRNA". It matches the Rfam family "Eukaryotic small subunit ribosomal RNA", at positions 587 to 972 of the family's 1831-position model. The record is from RNAcentral.
AGCUCCAAUAGCAUAUAUUAAAGUUGUUGCGGUUAAAAAGCUCGUAGUUGGAUUUCUGCCAAGGGCAACCGGUCUGCCUGCUGGGUGAGUAUUCGGUUUGGCCUGGGCAUCCUCGUGGAGAAUGUGGCUGCACUUGACUGUGUGGUGCAGUACCCACGACAUUUACUUUGAGGAAAUUAGAGUGUUUCAGGCAGGUGGCAUGCCUUGGAUACAUGAGCAUGGAAUAAUUGGACAGAGCCUCUGUUCUAUCUUGUUGGUUUCUAGAGCUGAGGUUAUGGUUAAUAGGGAUAGCUGGGGGCAUCUGUAUUUAACUGUCAGAGGUGAAAAUCUUGGAUUUGUUAAAGACAAACUCAUGCAAAAGCAUUUGCCAAGGAUGUUUUCA